UUUACGGGAGGCAGCAGUGGGGAAUAUUGCACAAUGGGCGAAAGCCUGAUGCAGCCAUGCCGCGUGUGUGAAGAAGGCUCUAGGGUUGUAAAGCACUUUCAGUGGGGAGGAAAAGCUCAAAAUUAAUACUUUUGAGCCUUGACGUUACCUGCAGAAGAAGCACCGGCAAACUCCGUGCCAGCAGCCGCGGUAAU
This 194-nucleotide ribosomal RNA is filed under the name uncultured bacterium. RNAcentral's name for it is "partial 16S ribosomal RNA". It matches the Rfam family "Bacterial small subunit ribosomal RNA", at positions 338 to 524 of the family's 1533-position model. The record is from RNAcentral.